This 566-nucleotide ribosomal RNA is filed under the name uncultured Cortinarius. RNAcentral's name for it is "eukaryotic LSU rRNA". The stretch from base 174 to 327 matches the Rfam family "5.8S ribosomal RNA". The record is from RNAcentral. Lineage: Eukaryota; Fungi; Basidiomycota; Agaricomycetes; Agaricales; Cortinariaceae.
AGGAUCAUUAUUGAAAUAAACCUGAUGGGUUGUUGCUGGUUCUCUAGGGAGCAUGUGCACACCUUGUCAUCUUUAUAUCUCCACCUGUGCACCUUUUGUAGACCUUUCAGGUCUAUGUUGCUUCAUUUACCCCAAUGUAUGUUAAUAGAAUGUUGUGCCUAUAUAAUAUAUACAACUUUCAGCAACGGAUCUCUUGGCUCUCGCAUCGAUGAAGAACGCAGCGAAAUGCGAUAAGUAAUGUGAAUUGCAGAAUUCAGUGAAUCAUCGAAUCUUUGAACGCACCUUGCGCUCCUUGGUAUUCCGAGGAGCAUGCCUGUUUGAGUGUCAUUAAUAUAUCAACCUUCUCUUUUUUGAGUGGUUUGGAUGUGGGGGUUUGCUGGCCUCUUAAAAAGGUCUUGGCUCUCCUGAAAUACAUUAGCAGAACAACCCUGUUCAUUGGUGUGAUAACUAUCUACGCUAUUGAAUGUGAAGGGCAGUUUGGCUUUCUAACAGUCCUUGGACAAAGCUCAUCAUUAAUGUGACCUCAAAUCAGGUAGGACUACCCGCUGAACUUAAGCAUAUCAAUA